AACGUUUCGCAAGCGGUUUUAUCAACAAUAUUUUCAAUGCCUAUUAAUGUUUUCGUUUCAAUGGAUAUUUAAAAGUAAUAUGCUAGUUAGCCUAUGUUCAAAAAAUGUGUUUUUUCACAAAGCACGACCUGAAAUGAACGUCAUGUUGAAUUCUCAAGCAUUUCUGUUUGGACUAACAUUUUUAUCUACAGAGUACCUACCAAAUAAAAAUUACGUACAAAACUCGCCAAAUUAAAUUGUCUAUAAAUGGCUCAACAAUUUUACUAUGUCAAGAAAAGAUAAAUAAAAGUUUUCUAUUCAAAUAUAUAGUCUCU
Cinara cedri is the source of this 314-nucleotide non-coding RNA. NCBI's taxonomy places the organism in Eukaryota, Metazoa, Arthropoda, Insecta, Hemiptera, Aphididae. The record is from the annotation of a GenBank genome assembly.